GACGACCGCUGGCGGCGUGCUUAACACCCUCAAGUCGAACGGAAAGGCCCUGCUUUUGUUGAGUACUCACGUGGCUUAAGGGUGUGUAACACGUGAGUAACCUGCCCUUGACUUUGGGAUAACUUCCGAAAACUGGGGCUAAUACCGGAUAGGAGCUCCUGCUGCAUGGUGGGGGUUGGACAGUUUCUGCGGUUGGGGAUGGACUCGCGGCUUAUCAGCUUGUUGGUGGGGUAGUGGCUUACCAAGGCUUUGACGGGUAGCCGGCCUGAGAGGGUGACCGGCCACAUUGGGACUGAGAUACGGCCCAGACUCCUACGGGAGGCAGCAGGGGGGAAUAUUGCACAAUGGGCGGAAGCCUGAUGCAGCAACGCCGCGUGCGGGAGGACGGCCUUCGGGUUGUAAACCGCUUUCGCCUGUGACGAAGCGUGAGUGACGGUAAUGGGUAAAGAAGCAGCGGCUAACUACGUG
RNAcentral lists this ribosomal RNA (468 nucleotides) under uncultured bacterium. RNAcentral describes it as "partial 16S ribosomal RNA". It matches the Rfam family "Bacterial small subunit ribosomal RNA", at positions 28 to 507 of the family's 1533-position model. The record is from RNAcentral.